CGAGGCCAAGAGUCUCUACUGCGUCCCCCGAAGGUUAGACUAGCUGCUUCUCUUGAGAGCGGCGGACGGGUGAGUAAUGCCUAGGAAUCUGCCUGGUAGUGGGGGAUAACGUUCGGAAACGGACGCUAAUACCGCAUACGUCCUACGGGAGAAAGCAGGGGACCUUCGGGCCUUGCGCUAUCAGAUGAGCCUAGGUCGGAUUAGCUAGUUGGUGAGGUAAUGGCUCACCAAGGCGACGAUCCGUAACUGGUCUGAGAGGAUGAUCAGUCACACUGGAACUGAGACACGGUCCAGACUCCUACGGGAGGCAGCAGUGGGGAAUAUUGGACAAUGGGCGAAAGCCUGAUCCAGCCAUGCCGCGUGUGUGAAGAAGGUCUUCGGAUUGUAAAGCACUUUAAGUUGGGAGGAAGGGCAGUUACCUAAUACGUGAUUGUUUUGACGUUACCGACAGAAUAAGCACCGGCUAACUCUGUGCCAGCAGCCGCGGUAAUACAGAGGGUGCAAGCGUUAAUCGGAAUUACUGGGCGUAAAGCGCGCGUAGGUGGUUAGUUAAGUUGGAUGUGAAAUCCCCGGGCUCAACCUGGGAACUGCAUUCAAAACUGACUGACUAGAGUAUGGUAGAGGGUGGUGGAAUUUCCUGUGUAGCGGUGAAAUGCGUAGAUAUAGGAAGGAACACCAGUGGCGAAGGCGACCACCUGGACUGAUACUGACACUGAGGUGCGAAAGCGUGGGGAGCAAACAGGAUUAGAUACCCUGGUAGUCCACGCCGUAAACGAUGUCAACUAGCCGUUGGGAGCCUUGAGCUCUUAGUGGCGCAGCUAACGCAUUAAGUUGACCGCCUGGGGAGUACGGCCGCAAGGUUAAAACUCAAAUGAAUUGACGGGGGCCCGCACAAGCGGUGGAGCAUGUGGUUUAAUUUCGAAGCAACGCGAAGAACCUUACCAGGCCUUGACAUCCAAUGACUUUCUAGAGAUAGAUUGGUGCCUUCGGACAUUGAGACAGUGCUGCAUGCUGUCGUCAGCUCGUGUCGUGAGAUGUGGGUAGUCCGUUACGAGCGCAUCCUGUCUAGUACCAGCACGUAUGGUGGCACCUCUAAGGGAACUGCGUGACAAUCGGACAAGCUGGUCAUGACGUUCAAGUCAUCAUGCCGUUACG
This 1155-nucleotide ribosomal RNA is filed under the name Pseudomonas veronii. RNAcentral's name for it is "bacterial SSU rRNA". It matches the Rfam family "Bacterial small subunit ribosomal RNA", at positions 63 to 1206 of the family's 1533-position model. The record is from RNAcentral. Lineage: Bacteria; Pseudomonadati; Pseudomonadota; Gammaproteobacteria; Pseudomonadales; Pseudomonadaceae.